This 464-nucleotide ribosomal RNA is filed under the name Vreelandella stevensii. Its description in RNAcentral is "partial 16S ribosomal RNA". It matches the Rfam family "Bacterial small subunit ribosomal RNA", at positions 338 to 794 of the family's 1533-position model. Lineage: Bacteria; Pseudomonadati; Pseudomonadota; Gammaproteobacteria; Oceanospirillales; Halomonadaceae. The record is from RNAcentral.
CCUAGGGGCGGCAGCAGUGGGGAAUAUUGGACAAUGGGCGAAAGCCUGAUCCAGCCAUGCCGCGUGUGUGAAGAAGGCCUUCGGGUUGUAAAGCACUUUCAGUGGGGAAGAAAGCCUUGGGGCUAAUACCCUCGAGGAAGGACAUCACCCACAGAAGAAGCACCGGCUAACUCCGUGCCAGCAGCCGCGGUAAUACGGAGGGUGCGAGCGUUAAUCGGAAUUACUGGGCGUAAAGCGCGCGUAGGCGGUCUGAUAAGCCGGUUGUGAAAGCCCCGGGCUCAACCUGGGAACGGCAUCCGGAACUGUCAGGCUAGAGUGCAGGGGAGGAAGGUAGAAUUCCCGGUGUAGCGGUGAAAGGCGUAGAGAUCGGGAGGAAUACCAGUGGCGAAGGCGGCCUUCUGGACUGACACUGACGCUGAGGUGCGAAAGCGUGGGUAGCAAACAGGAUUAGAUACCCGUGUAGU